UACGUAGGGGGCAAGCGUUGUCCGGAAUCAUUGGGCGUAAAGAGCGUGUAGGCGGCCCUGUAAGUCAGUGGUGAAAUACUGCAGCUUAACUGUAGCAUUGCCAUUGAUACUGUAGGGCUUGAGUACAGAUGAGGUAGGCGGAAUUGAUGGUGUAGCGGUGAAAUGCAUAGAUACCAUCAAGAACACCGAUUGCGAAGGCAGCUUACUAAGCUGUAACUGACGCUGAGGCACGAAAGCGUGGGGAUCGAACAGG
RNAcentral lists this ribosomal RNA (253 nucleotides) under uncultured bacterium. RNAcentral's name for it is "partial 16S ribosomal RNA". It matches the Rfam family "Bacterial small subunit ribosomal RNA", at positions 524 to 776 of the family's 1533-position model. The record is from RNAcentral.